ACGCGAAAGUCCCGAAAGGGAUGAGUAGAGUGGCAAACGGGUGAGUAACACGUGGGUGACCUGCCUUUGAGCGGGGGAUAACGUCCCGAAAGGGACGCUAAUACCGCAUGACAUCCUGCCUUUGAACAGGCGGUGAUCAAAGCUGGGGAUCGCAAGACCUAGCACUUGAAGAGGGGCCCGCGCCUGAUUAGCUAGUUGGUGGGGUAACGGCUCACCAAGGCGACGAUCAGUAUCCGGCCUGAGAGGGCGGACGGACACACUGGGACUGAGACACGGCCCAGACUCCUACGGGAGGCAGCAGUGGGGAAUUGUUCGCAAUGGGCGCAAGCCUGACGACGCAACGCCGCGUGGAGGAUGAAGACCUUCGGGUCGUAAACUCCUUUCGAUCGAGACGAAUGGCCUCCGGGUGAACAAUCCGGGGGAGUGACGGUACCGAGAGAAGAAGCCCCGGCUAACUCCGUGCCAGCAGCCGCGGUAAUACGGGGGGGGCAAGCGUUGUUCGGAAUUACUGGGCGUAAAGGGCUCGUAGGCGGCCAACUAAGUCAGACGUGAAAUCCCUCGGCUUAACCGGGGAACUGCAUCUGAUACUGGAUGGCUUGAGAUCGGGAGAGGGAUGCGGAAUUCCAGGUGUAGCGGUGAAAUGCGUAGAUAUCUGGAGGAACACCGGUGGCGAAGGCGGCAUCCUGGACCGACACUGACGCUGAGGAGCGAAAGC
Molecule: ribosomal RNA, 715 nt
Filed under: uncultured bacterium
Lineage: Bacteria
Description: bacterial SSU rRNA
Rfam family: Bacterial small subunit ribosomal RNA
Source: RNAcentral